RNAcentral lists this long non-coding RNA (278 nucleotides) under Gossypium raimondii (Peruvian cotton). RNAcentral's name for it is "long non-coding RNA (GRAI_LNC009470)". Lineage: Eukaryota; Viridiplantae; Streptophyta; Magnoliopsida; Malvales; Malvaceae. The record is from RNAcentral.
ACAAAGUGAUAAGUGGCUACACUUAUCUGAUCAAGAGACAAAGUGAUAAGUGGCUACACUUAUCUGAUCAAGAAACAAAGUGAUAGGUGGCUACACUUAUCUGAUCAGGGACAAGUGAUAAGUGAUCAUACGUAAGACCAUAGUUAUACUAUGGCAAAGUGAAAGUGAAGUACUCAAUUUUCCGUGACCGUUCCCUAAUUUGAUUAAGGAUGGUAAGUGACAAAUGGGCCCAAAAGAAUUAAAGUAAAUGGAUAAGUGGUAGUGUAUUUAUAUCAGGA